This is a non-coding RNA of Oncorhynchus mykiss (rainbow trout), 2011 nucleotides long. The record is from RefSeq and is a predicted model, not a curated record. NCBI's taxonomy places the organism in Eukaryota, Metazoa, Chordata, Actinopteri, Salmoniformes, Salmonidae.
CUGUGCCAGGGGAAUAUCCUCCCUCUUCACUGCACUCUCACUUUGCCCCCUGGUGGGAUAACACAGCAUGACCUUGCUGUCCUGCCACGACCAUGAUACGUUACCACAGUUCAACUUACUCUGAGUUGUGUAAUGUGGCUCAAAUUGUGUGUGGGUUUAACUAGGUAAGGUGUCUGGGUGUGUUUCUGACACAGUCACACGGACUGUACCAUCUCUCUGUCUCCCCAGUAGGAACACCCCAUCUACCCCAUCCAGUAACCUCAGCCCUCCACUCUCCCUCUUUCUCUCCCUCCCCCCGGGUAACUGGACCCAGAGGCCCCCGGAGGCCCUUUGUGUGCCUGGAGGAGAGGCUUGGUGCUGGCUCGCCUGCUGAAGAGAGAGAGGGUGGUCAGAGAGCAGGAUGGAGAGAAGGAUGAAGAUGGGGGAGGAGAGAGAGAGGCGGAGCUGCAUCUGGACGCUUUGUCGCCUACGUCUCGGAUCUACCUGCACCUGCAAAUCUCCUGGAACAGUUACAUUAUAAGGUCGACGUUGCUGUUGGACCCCCUCUACAGAAGGAGAUGCAAUGUCAUGUUGAACACCUCAACACAGAAACAACCCCCAAUUAGUUGGGAGCGUACAGCCCACCUGUUCCUCCAGCUGAGUGGUGAUUUGCUUGAGGAGGGCAUCAGUCUGGAGAGCCUAUAUCUGCUCCUCCAGGAGUUCUGCAAUGCAGAAUCACCUGCAGGAAACUCUUCUGGAGGGUGAGAUCACAGGGAUCUUUGUGUGUGUGUGUUUGUUUCUGUGACUUUCUGUGUCCUGCUUUCUCCAUACAUAACUGUGUGUGUGUUAGUCCAAUGACAUGUUUCCAUUCCUGGUGCGGAUGCUGGAACAGGCUGGAGACCAAUACAGCAGACAGCCUACUGCUGUGUACUCUGAUCGCUCAGAUCCUGGCCUUGACGUUCAGGGAUCGAGCAGGCUCGACUCAACAUGCUUACGGUCAAGCAGUAAUAUGUGAAGCGGCCUUGUGUAGAGGAGAAGUUGACCCCCGAUUACCCAUCAGCCAGCCUGAUUUUCGCCUUGUCUCUCAACUGCUGGGACUUAUCAUACAGAAUUCCUGACCACAAACACUACAUGCAUUUCCUUGAUUCAUAGACAGAUGUACUUAUUCUCAUGUGUUUUUAGAAUUAUACUGUAUAUCAGGGUUUCACAAACUAUGGGUCGGGACUUAAAGUGGGCCCUGUGCAUGUGAGAUGUGGUUAGUGAGAUAUGAGAAUACAUCUACAAUCACACUGUAUUUCUUAAUUUGGGUCGUUGGAGGACAAUUUGGGUCACAGAGGAAGGUCAACUGGACAUAUACUCUAUUAAAAACUCUCACAGACAUAGGGACAGGACAUUGCUCUGGGAAAGUGUACCUUUGUCUGAGUGGUGUGUGGUUUCUGAAGGACCUUAGAAGUUUCCCUCCUGUGUGGUUGGGUACUGUACAUACUUGUGUUUAUGUCUUUGCACUUGGUGAGAUGUACGAUGCGAGGCAUCUCACUCUUCUCUUCUCUCCUACACACGGCCUUGUUCUCAGGUUAACUGUCAUGUAAAUGGCAGUCAGAAUGGUCAGAUUGGUCGCAAUAAAAUGUAUGAAUUUAAUCAAGGUACUGCACAUCUCACUUUCUAGGAUAUUCAGCUUACACUAGAAAUAAUAAAUAUUCCACUUGUUGAGCAAAAGGCAUGUUCUACCGAUGUACCUUAUUACUGAUAUAGGCCUACUGAUUUGUAAGACCUUGUGUGCAGUAUUUACUUAGACACAUUAUCGUUUUGAUUCAGAAUUGAAUGCAUUUAUUUAGAUUUGAUUGUGUAUCAUCAUCUUACUCUCUGUGAGCGAAGGAUUGUAACCAAAGGUUUUCUAGAACUCGACCUUGGUAAAUGGCCUAAAAUAAAGUUACUAUCCAGCUCUAUUGUUUAUAUCUUGUGUUGUCCAGCUUCACGGGAGACAACAUCCAUAACAUUUGGAAAUAAAACCUAUAUGUUAUGUCAUGUCCCC